GUCAGCUCGUGUCGUGAGAUGUUGGUUAAGUCCCGCAACGAGCGCAACCCUCGACCUUAGUUGCCAGCAUUCAGUUGGGCACUCUAAGGUGACUGCCGGCUAAAAGUCGGAGGAAGGUGGGGAUGACGUCAAAUCAUCAUGCCCCUUAUGACCUGGGCUACACACGUGCUACAAUGGGCGGUACAAAGGGUCGCGAACCCGCGAGGGGGAGCCAAUCCCAAAAAGCCGCUCUCAGUUCGGAUUGCAGGCUGCAACUCGCCUGCAUGAAGCCGGAAUCGCUAGUAAUCGCGGAUCAGCAUGCCGCGGUGAAUACGUUCCCGGGCCUU
Molecule: ribosomal RNA, 326 nt
Filed under: uncultured Anoxybacillus sp.
Lineage: Bacteria; Bacillati; Bacillota; Bacilli; Caryophanales; Anoxybacillaceae
Description: bacterial SSU rRNA
Rfam family: Bacterial small subunit ribosomal RNA
Source: RNAcentral